This 21-nucleotide small nuclear RNA is filed under the name Arabidopsis thaliana (thale cress). RNAcentral's name for it is "snRNA_05614". Lineage: Eukaryota; Viridiplantae; Streptophyta; Magnoliopsida; Brassicales; Brassicaceae. The record is from RNAcentral.
CGGCAAGUCAUCCUUGGCUCA